UCAUUUAGUGUAAUAAACUUUAGCAUUAAUUGUGCAGGAGACUGUUCAUUUAAACUUUAUUGUGGUAACGUUAAAUGCUCGCUCGUUGUGCAAAGUUACGUUUGGAGAUUCAUGUUAACAGUCAUUGUUUAAUGAAAGGCACAUUGGACUACGGGUUAGUAUGUGUGACACUUGCAGCACUUUAACGUAAAUCUUUAACACCGUGUCAUAAAUAGACGUGACACGCGGUAACGGGUUUCUUUUCAGUUUAUGUCCUGACGUUAAUAGGACGGGAUAUUAUAAAUUAUGCCUUUCGAUUAUCGCGAAGCCUCGUCGCGUUUGGUUAAGCACAUGGUGGAUCAGUAUGCACGUCACUGUACCUACUGUACACCUGUGAGCGGCAUGACGAGACAAAAGACGCUAUCCAUCUGAAAAAGAAAAGCUGGCACUCGCAAAGGAGAUUGUGUUGUUGGAUUAUGGUCUCAUUUGGUCAAAAUGAGGGACAUGUACUGAGCAUUUUUCUUUUUUUUUUCUUUUUUUUUUUGAUGGGCCAUCACACAGUGGAUUUAUAAAAAUGAGACUACAGAACAUCAGACGGAAGCUUCAAUGGAGUUGACGUGAGAGGACAUCAUCAAUAAAGAAUGCCAUUGACCAAACCUUCAGUCAUCAAAGAAGAUGGAUACAGGUGGACAUCGAGUUUUCCAGACUUACCGAUAGGAAAGAAGACAUGUUUAUCAGGAAAUGGGAGGUGACAAUUAUUGAGAAACUCAGGGAAAUAGCAUCUUUAGAGAAGAAAAUGGACAUCAGACAUUCAUUGAAGAAAGCUGACAGUCAACAUAAUGAUCUUCUGCUGUGUGAAUUCUGUGUGAAGUCUCAGACCUGUGGGACUUGGUGGCGGCUGGUACCAGCGUGACCUCUUUGCUUACUAAAUGAUGAAAAGGUGUCUAAAAUCAGCUCAGCCACAGUUGGUUUCCAGCGGUUCUUCAGGACAUAGAGGCCACUAUGUAAUUGUCGCAAUGAAUGAUUCUCUUGCCUUUCCACUUGAUGUUGACAAUCUGACCUGUGCGGUAGAAAGACUUUUCAAAUUUACUAGCUAAGUAACCUUAAGUAUCCCUGCCAACUGUCUUCAGGUUUUUUUUUUGGUAUGAAUAUGAUCUACCCUUGUCCCAGUCCUCUUGCAAACGAUCCAAGCCAAUGGAGUUUCAAAAUGGACCGAAAAUUGCAGUCUGUUUUAACCAAUGCAUGCACUGUGUGGCGGUUUCCCGGACAGGGAUUAGACUAGUCCUAGACUAAAACAUUUUUAAGAGCUGUCCAAACUGAAAACAACUUGCACUGACAUAUCUUAAAAUACAUCAGUGCCCUUUGUUUUGCCUCAAAAUGCACACAGGUAAUGUUUUUAGUAAGGCAUGUUUGUUAAAACCAGAUAUAUUUCCUAAUUUAUCUAAGGCCUAGUCCUGGAUUAAGAUAAUCCCUGUCCGGGAAACCGCCCCUAAAUAUUUUGUGAUGGAAAUUUCUUUGAAUCCACUUGUCAAGUUCAUUUGAAGUAUUUUUCUUAAUGUAAAAUAACGUGUUAAUGUUUCAGGACAAGGUAAGAAUUUUUGAUAACUUGUAUGUUGAAAACGAUUUCAGACAUUGUUUCAACAUGUUUAACACAUGUGCUUUUAAAUUCAAUGAAUUAUUUUAUAAAUGGUGUUUUUUUUAUGUAUGAAUGUAAUGUAUGUUUGAAGUGAUUAUACUUUCACUUAAAUUUAUUUAAAUUAGCAUAC
This is a non-coding RNA of Misgurnus anguillicaudatus (oriental weatherfish), 1745 nucleotides long. NCBI's taxonomy places the organism in Eukaryota, Metazoa, Chordata, Actinopteri, Cypriniformes, Cobitidae. The record is from RefSeq and is a predicted model, not a curated record.